This 443-nucleotide ribosomal RNA is filed under the name uncultured bacterium. Its description in RNAcentral is "partial 16S ribosomal RNA". It matches the Rfam family "Bacterial small subunit ribosomal RNA", at positions 338 to 795 of the family's 1533-position model. The record is from RNAcentral.
CCUACGGGUGGCAGCAGUGGGGAAUAUUGGGCAAUGGGGGCAACUCUGACCCAGCAACGCCGCGUGAACGAAGAAGGAUUUCGGAUUGUAAAGUUCUUUAAGCAGGGACGAAGAAAGUGACUGUACCUAAAGAAGAAGCCGCGGCUAACUACGUACCAGCAGCCGCGGUACUACGUAGGCGGCAAGCGUUAUCCGGAAUUACUGGGCGUAAAGGGGGCGUAGGCGGUACGGCAAGUCGGUAGUGAAAUCCCGGGGCUCAACCUCGGUGCUACUUCCGAAACUGUGGGGCUUGAGUGCAGGAGAGGUAAAUGGAAUUCCGAGUGUAGCGGUGAAAUGCGUAGAUAUUAGGAAGAACGCCAGUGGCGAAGGCGGUUUACUGGACUGUAACUGACGCUGAGGCACGAAAGCGUGGGGAGCAAACAGGAUUAGAUACCCCUGUAGUC